RNAcentral lists this long non-coding RNA (323 nucleotides) under Setaria italica (foxtail millet). RNAcentral's name for it is "long non-coding RNA (SITA_LNC007423)". Lineage: Eukaryota; Viridiplantae; Streptophyta; Magnoliopsida; Poales; Poaceae. The record is from RNAcentral.
CUGAACUCAAGGUUACAAGAACAAUCUUUAGCUUUUUUCACUCGGAUGUUGCGGUACUCACUUCUUUAUUUCAUCUAGAGUUGAUACAUUUUACAAAUCUAGAGAUGAUAUAAUUUUUAAACUGACUUCUUUAUUUAAUUUGCAGGGACCACUCACAGAUGAUGUUUUUAACCAGUUCUGGUGAAGUACUUCUGUUUUUGGGGUCAUUUUGCAAGCAAUCUAGUUUCUGAAUUUGGUACUUCAAGUUGGUAAGCAAACAUUUUGGUAGCAAUUCAGCGUGCCAUUUUGCAAUCAGACAUUCUGGGAGUAUUUUGCAACCAGAC